GGACUACACGGGUAUCUAAUCCUGUUUGCUCCCCACGCUUUCGCGUCUCAGUGUCAGUACCGUCCCAGCGAGCUGCCUUCGCCAUUGGUGUUCCUCCUGAUAUCUGCGCAUUUCACCGCUACACCAGGAAUUCCACUCGCCUCUUCCGGACUCCAGCCCGGCAGUAUCCACCGGCAUUCCAGGGUUGAGCCCUGGACUUUCACGGCGGACUGACCGGGCCACCUACACGCUCUUUACGCCCAAUGAUUCCGGACAACGCUUGCCCCCUACGUAUUACCGCGGCUGCUGGCAC
Molecule: ribosomal RNA, 292 nt
Filed under: uncultured bacterium
Lineage: Bacteria
Description: partial 16S ribosomal RNA
Source: RNAcentral